Molecule: long non-coding RNA, 1744 nt
Organism: Anser brachyrhynchus (Pink-footed goose)
Lineage: Eukaryota; Metazoa; Chordata; Aves; Anseriformes; Anatidae
Source: Ensembl
AUCCUUGCCAUGAGAACACUCAAGAUUUCUUAUUUAGAGAACAGACAAAAAUGAAGGACUGAAAACUAAAGAAAAACAGAAGCACAGAUUUCUUUAUACCUUAUUUGAGUGAAUGUGUGUGGUUCUUUGAUCAUAUCAAAAGAAAACUGUUGAUGACAUGCUGAAAAAAUAAAACAACAUAACAUAUGGCAGAAAGCAUAUCAGCAUAGUACUUCUGUUUUUACACCACUUUCUACUGAAUUUUCCUGAACUACAUUUGCUAAUAUUUUACAAAAUGUAUUGAACUGUUCUGAUUUUUACUAUUUGCCAUUAUGACAGCUUUGGAAAGAACUAAUUCAUUAAAGUAGUCCACUGUUGUCAUAUAAUUUUUUUAACUUCUUUAACACUGAACUGCUUGCUCGGGUAACUGUGAAAAGUAAUAAUUACAAGCCAACAUUUGUAAAAUACAGCAUAUGAGUUUUUAAUGAGGUAUGUGUCCUAUACCAUAUUUCUGCAAGUGUCUGACUACAAAAGCACAAGAUAAAUGCAGACACAGUGAUAUUCCUUUUUGUGCAAUCUUUAGAAAACAUUGUGUGAUAAACCUCAUAUGAGUUUAUGAGUGCUUUACUCUCUGACUCUGGAGGUACUAAUUCCUAUGGAAGCGAGUAAAAGUUGACUGCGCUCAGUCGCUAUGAUUAAGCACAUCUUUACCUGUUCCAGUUGAAAGUCAUAGCAGGAACCUCUAAACUGCGUGUAUAGAAGUCUGAUCUGUGACUCUUUUCAAGGCUAUAUUUUUUUUCAUUUUCAGAUUGUUUUCCCUAAUCCAGAGACUUUAUUAAAUAAUCAUGUGCAAGGUGAAGAUCACAAAUGUAUUCUAUUAAAAGGAGAAAAAACAUUCCUCAUUAGGAAGAGCAGAUGCAUCCCAGCUAAGAGGUUUGAGGAUUAUAGAUUCAUUCAAGAAUUUUCCUUUUUUUCCAGAAAGACUGCUGUGUUGAAUUCCCAUAUCUCAGGCAUGUCUUAACUGUAUAGAUAAAAGAUGUCCUUUCUACCAAGAUACAGAACUUGCUUAGUGUAGGGGAAACCUGGGAUCUACUGUUAAACCACAGAGCAUGAAGAUUUCCUUGGAUGGUUACUGGUCAUGCAUCUAGACACAAAGGUACGUAUUUUUUCCUAGGAAGUACAUGUGCGUAAGUGUCAUUAAAGCUAACAGAAGGCUACCCGUGCCAAGGGAAAUCUAGUUCUGAGGAAUUCUUUUCAGUACAGACUUCAACUCAAACAUUAAAGAUUUUCCUUCUGUAAUAAUUUCUUUGCUAUUCUGUCCCUUUUGUUGCUGAGGUUGUCUGCUGUCCUAGAGGAUGGUUAUUUCAGCCAUUGGUAGAAUUGUUAUGAACUCAAAAUGCAAAGCUUAGACAUAAAGCCAAGAUAAGCAGCUCUUGACUUUGGGUUGUCCCUACAACACAACAACACAUCAAAAAUCCUUCCCUUUCACUGAUGUUUGGGAAGAGGACAAAGCCAAUAAGUGAGAUAAAGCAGUCUGUGUCAUAGCAAAGGAAGAAGGUAAAGUUGAUGGCAUCACUGGUGGUGUUGCAAUAUUCUCUCUACAAAGUUUUGUAUAACCAUGGGUAGGGAGAACCUGAAGGACAGGCUACAGAAAUGCAUAAGCCAGAAGAUAUCUCAGUGGUUGUCUGGUACUCAUUUCCAUCUUAAGUGGGGAAAAGGAUAGCGUUCCUCUAUCCCUCUGUUUCAGCCUCUCAACUACCAAGUA